This 380-nucleotide long non-coding RNA is filed under the name Homo sapiens (human). RNAcentral's name for it is "HSALNT0405469". Lineage: Eukaryota; Metazoa; Chordata; Mammalia; Primates; Hominidae. The record is from RNAcentral.
CCUAGUGUCUGUCCUCAGCGGCUGCGGCCAGGGCUGGAGAGGUGUUCAUGGCCCAGGAAGGACAGAAAAGAAACCACUGCCUGAGGGUCUGGCUCAGCUCUGCAAUCCCUCCUCCCCAGGAAAUCCACUUUGGGAGGCUGAGACAGGAGGAUCCCUCAAGGCCAAGAGUUCAAGACCAGCCUGGGCAACAUAGUGAAACCCCGUCUCUACAUAAAUAAAAAUAAAAAAUAAAAACAAAUUAGCCAGGUGUGGUGGCACAUGCCUGUAGUCCUGGCUACUACGGAGGCUGAGGUGGGAGGAUCACUUGAGCCCAGGAGGUUGAGGCUUCAGUGAGCUACGAUUGUACUACUGCACUCCAGUUGGGGUGACAGAGUCAGGUC